Molecule: non-coding RNA, 27 nt
Filed under: Bombyx mori (domestic silkworm)
Lineage: Eukaryota; Metazoa; Arthropoda; Insecta; Lepidoptera; Bombycidae
Source: RNAcentral
GCCUUGCGGGACUCCGGCUGUGACGUG